GUACAAAAAAACUAGCUCAGAAAAGGUCAAAUCCUCCUAAAUCUAGUUUUUCUUAACAUCUGGCUUCUUACUUUUGGGAACAAGGAAAACAUUGCCAUCUCUUGUUUGCUGCAGGGAGUAUUCACUAGGAGAAUAAGGUUUUCCAUCUUCAUCACGUAGCAUGCUGAAAACUUCGAGAUAUAAGGUGCUGAGUUGUUUUUUCAGUAGGUGAAGGCUUUUGUCAUUUUCUCCUUUUUCUUUGAGCAAUUUUUCUUUUUCAUCUUUCAAAUGAUCUAAAUCUUGCUCUAGUUCUACUAUAUUUUCCAGUUUUCUUUUUCUGCAAUUCUGAGCAGCCACUUUAUUCUUACCCCUC
This 352-nucleotide long non-coding RNA is filed under the name Homo sapiens (human). RNAcentral describes it as "lncAB335.1". Lineage: Eukaryota; Metazoa; Chordata; Mammalia; Primates; Hominidae. The record is from RNAcentral.